GAAGGUGACAGUGAUCCACUGGAGAGGUC
Molecule: non-coding RNA, 29 nt
Filed under: Rattus norvegicus (Norway rat)
Lineage: Eukaryota; Metazoa; Chordata; Mammalia; Rodentia; Muridae
Source: RNAcentral